GUGCUCACUUCAGCAGCACAUAUACUAACAUUGGAACAACACAGAGAUCAGCAUGGUCCCUGCGUAAGGAUGACAUACAAAUUCGUGAAGCAUUCCAUAUUUUU
This is a small nuclear RNA of Choloepus hoffmanni (Hoffmann's two-fingered sloth), 104 nucleotides long. The record is from Ensembl. Lineage: Eukaryota; Metazoa; Chordata; Mammalia; Pilosa; Megalonychidae.